Molecule: long non-coding RNA, 988 nt
Organism: Thunnus maccoyii (southern bluefin tuna)
Lineage: Eukaryota; Metazoa; Chordata; Actinopteri; Scombriformes; Scombridae
Exons: 2
Source: RefSeq, a predicted model, not a curated record
GCCGCUCUGUGCUAGUCGUUAGCAAGCUAGCCGGCUAAAUAGCACAAACCGCUCCGCGUGAUGCGGGUCUGUGCGGUUAUCGCUCUGCGUAUUCAACAACUACAACUCCCAUGAUGCUUUGGACAGAACCUGAUGAUCCUGAGACGUGUGAUGGAGGCUGGAGGAGCCGCCGUCACUCCUCUGUUAAAUGUCACUGGUUGAAUCAUCUGAUGUCAUUUAUGAAGAUAAGAAGGUUCAUAAAGAGGCUGAUAAUAUUGAUUUAUUUAUUUAUUUAUUUAUGACUGGAAACAUUAUUUAGACACAUUUUUACACACGACGUCCCCGUGAAUUUACGACCUGUUGUCUGCUAACGAGGCCUCGCUGUGUCUGGAUGUUAUUAAUAUCAGGCUGUUGUGGGUUGAACUGUUUUCUAUUGGUUGGUGUUAUUUGAAUAAAUACAUUUAAAAGAAAGAAGAAUACGUGUUGAUUCUUUUGGCUGAUUUAUAACUGGAGUGCUGUUUUAGAUUCUCUCAGAGUGAAUGAUGAUGCAUUCAGGUGUCUUAUUUUUUCUGACCAACAAUCCAAAACUCAAACAUGUUCAGUUUCUGGUCACAAAGAAAAGCAUUAAAUCACAUCUGAGAAGCUGAAAUCUGCACAUUUUGGGGCAUUUUUUCUAACAUAAAACUGAUGAUUGACUCGUUGCAGAUCUAAAAAAAAGUCCCAGAGACAGUCAGUGGAAAUGUGCAUCUAUUUACAUAUUUUUAAAUCUGUUCAGUGGAGGUUAUUUGAGGUAAAACAUGAGACAUUUCAAACAACGAAAAGGAGAUUUUUGUCUUUUAUUGACGAGUGUUCAGCACAUUCUGACAGGAUGAGAUGAACUGUUGUCUUCCGGUGGCUUCAGUUUGAGGCCCGCUCAGUGAAACUCAACUCAGCAGCAGAGAAAUAAAUUAAAACAGGAUCAACGUUAACAAAAAGCAGCUCAGGACAAAAGAAAGAAAAAAGGCACAGA